This 262-nucleotide signal recognition particle RNA is filed under the name uncultured Clostridium sp. Its description in RNAcentral is "Bacterial large signal recognition particle RNA". It matches the Rfam family "Bacterial large signal recognition particle RNA". From Rfam's summary of the family: The signal recognition particle (SRP) is a universally conserved ribonucleoprotein involved in the co-translational targeting of proteins to membranes. Archaeal SRP consists of a 7S RNA and homologues of the eukaryotic SRP19 and SRP54 proteins. In most bacteria, the SRP consists of a 4.5S RNA and the Ffh protein (a homologue of the eukaryotic SRP54 protein). Lineage: Bacteria; Bacillati; Bacillota; Clostridia; Eubacteriales; Clostridiaceae. The record is from RNAcentral.
UGCUAGAUGGGGAGUUAGCGGUGCCCUGUAACUUGCAAUCCGCUAUAGCAAGAUUGAAUUCCCUACCGAGGCUUUAACUCUGUGUGGCCUGCCUUAGGCAAGUGAUGUUGAGAGUUGGGUCCCAUGCAAUGGAAGUCUGUGAACCUGGUCAGAUCUGGAAGGAAGCAGCCAUAAGUAGAUCCUUUCAUGUGCCAUGGUCAAAUCUGGCUUGAGUUAACUACUUGAGUAACGCACAUGGAUUAUCGUCGGAGUAGGGUGCAUG